CCCUGUUUAAAGAGUUUGAGGACCCCUGGUCUAAGGCACUCAGCAUAGAGGGCCGAAAAUAAAAACGUGGCAAAACUGGCUCUGACGGCAAUCUUCUGCCACACCGCUGUGUAUAAUAGACAUGUUUUGCAUUUGUCAUUAUGCAGCUGUUUGUCAAAACAAAAAAGUUGUUUGUCUACACCUGUGGCUUAGUAAGCAUUUAAUGAAGCUGAUAACUAAUCUCCUACACCAUGCUCGAUUAUUUGUAGAACUACCAUCCACAAUGCAAAAGUGGAAAAAAUGAGUAAAGAUGAGGGGAAAAGAUAGCAAAUUAUCAAAAUAGAGUAUUCAGUAAGAAAUCAAAAAUAGAACCUCCUGUAGAAUGGCCUUUUCCUUCCAAGAUAGACAUCAAACAUGUUUGUGGCACAAUCUAAAAUGAUACAAUUUUCAUAAGAUCUAGGAUGGGUUUAUUUUUCAUGUGCUUAGUUAGGUCUCUCCUUAGGAACAGUUGUGAGAUAUAGACUCUUAUUUAUCUAGAAAGUGAAAAGCUAGAAAGCUAAAACAAAGAUCUGUGCAAUACAAUUUAUGUUACAAGUAAUCCUAAUGAUUACUGAGCACUCAAUAUAUGCCUGGCAUUGUGCAAAAUGUUUUAUAUGCAUUACUUUAUUUAAUACUCAUAAAAAUUUAUGAGGGAUAUUCCCCCAUUUUACGGAUGAGAAAACAGUGUUAGAAAGGUUAAGUAACUUGCCAAAGGUCACUCACCUAGGAAACCACACCGCCUGAGUUUGAAUCUAGGUUUUUUUCUGACCCCAUGGUGCUCAUUCUCCAGUUUUGCAAGAUUCUGAAAUGCCCUCUGAAUUAUCACAUACAAAUUAACUUUUGUGUUAACUAGCAGUGUCAUAUUUUAUAUCAAGUGUGUGGUUUUCCAUCUCUUAAGAUUUGUAGGAAAAAACUGACCUCACCAGACUAAGAAAUCAGACACUUAGGUUGAAGAGAUAUUGUGAAAAUCAAAUAAAAUCAUGAGAGUGGAAAAAUCUUUGAAAAAUGCAUUGCAUUCUACAGAGGAAUGAGGAUGUCAUUACUGUUAAAAAUGUCAAUGUGAAUGUGAUAAGUAUAAUACUUCUCAGGUGAUUAGAAUAUUUUUGUAAAUCAAAACGCCUGCUUACCUAUCUAAUUUGCACUCUGGUAAGUGUGAACAAGCUACCGUUCACCUGUUAGAGUUGAGGCAUAUAAAAUCCCUUGCUUUUCAACUUAUUUCUGGGCCACAUCACUUGCUUGGCUCUGUAGUUCAUGGCUCUGUCACGAGUUUCUCUUUUAUAAGCUCAGAAAACUCCUGAAGUGCAACAAAGUGUUAAGAUGCUGACUUUUACGAAUUACUAUUAGGAUCACCACCAAGUGAGCUGAUUUACCAUCUUCUCUUCCCCUCACCCAACCCCGUUUUCACGUUGCCCGUAAACACGACUUCAUAAACAAGCAGGUAGCACAGCCGGGGACCCUGGGAGUCUCACUGAUUAGUGAGACGUUCCCAGCUCUGAAGUCGUGCGUGGCGUGGAAACUCUGAAUGCAGCUCGGGCAAGGGACUUUAAGACUUCCAGAAAGACCCAACCGGAGUUCCUUACUUGUUCAGAGCUUGAAUUAUGAAGAAAAUAGCGGCAUAGUUUAUGGAUAAAUGAAACGACAGAGGACUUUCUCAUCAGGGUUUCUUAAUGAAGACUGCACCUUAUAAACAGUACUAUUUCAGGUCUGAAAUAAGGCAAUUUGGGAGACCCGUGGUGGCCUUUCAACUCCUCCUUCCUCCCGUACUCUGCUAAGAGAAGACAGUUGGAAACAGCAGUAGGUCCUUAAGGGGGAAAGGCAAACAUUGGCCUGACCCUGGGCCUAAGAAAUCAACUGACAACAGGAAGGAAGCUUAUUAACCCCUCUCCUCCUCCUCCUCCUCCCCCCCUUUCCUGGGUGAGGAUGGGCUCCUCCUCCUCCUCCUGGUCGUGCGGACCCUGGAGCAAAAUGCAAACAACCGCCUGCUUUCGCCACCCUGCACGUCUCUCCCAGAGGAGGAAGAGGGAAGGGGAGAGGGCACGGCCCCAAGCCCAGUCGAGCAAGUCUGUCAAUCGGGCGUGAACGUCCCGACGAGACGACCAGGGCCCUCGCGCCGGCCCAACCCCGCAAGCACGCGGCUUACCUGGCCGAGUUGGCAUCCGGCACCCCAACCGCUGGGCUGACCCCCUGCGCCCCUGCGCCUCGUGCAGGUGGUGCAAACACCCCUGCUCUCCGGCGCCCCCUGCCGGGGAGAGGGAAGGCGGCGGCCGCGAGGAGCAGGGCGCGGGGCCGGGACGGAGCUCGGGCGCGGGGAAGAAGCCGGGAGCUUCCCCGAUGGUGCCGCCGCCUCCUCCGAGCCGGCGAGGAGCAGCCAGGGGGCAGCUGGGCAGGAGCCUGGGUCCGCUGCUGCUGCUCCUGGCGCUGGGACACACGUGGACCUACCGAGAGCUCGAGAACGGCGACAGAGAAAUCUGUUCGGAAAACAAAAUCGUGACUACUAAAUACCCGUGUCUGAAGGCUUCAGGCGAGCUCACCACGUGCUACAGGAGAGAACCACUGUUCCCCGCUUGCGGCCUUUGGAGGUGAGGGGUGACUUCGCUUUUCACUGUGAGUUCUGGGCUUCUGUCCCCAUGCUUUCACUGGUUGGAAGAGGCACACACCCACAAACAUUUAUUGGGUGUCUGCUUUUUAAAGGUAAUCUGGUCACGUGCCCACACCAGACUGUCUCUGAGGCUCAUGAGGUCCGUUUGGGGUGCCAGGAGGUAACAUAGCAAUCCCCAGAAAUGAACUUAAAAGGAAGUUUUACUCUUCAUAAUGUUGUAGCCUGUGAAUUGGUCAUAAUGUUGCAAGAAAGUUCAUUUCACAGAAGCAAAGAUUCAGAUACAAGUGGUUCCAGGGCUUUCAAAGGCACCAUCAGUUACGUUGUGUACUCAGACUUUUAAAUCUUUUGUGGGCGAUGGAAUGACAACCAUCACUUAAGUGAAUCAACAGUCAUUCCUCAGGCUUGGGACGGGCUGCCAUCUCUAGGGGGAUGAACGCUGAGCAAUUUGUGACAGAGGAGAAAGAAGCGUGUUCAAUCGGCAGGUGAAGAUUUUAAGAGGUUAACUGGGUGAGCAGGCAAGGUCACCCGGCUGGUAAAAUGACUUGGUGGUGCUGGCAGCAGGACUGCCUGCCUGGUUCCAGCCCUGUGUAUCUCCCCAUGACACAGUAUUUCUUAGGACACGUUGUUUUUCUAUCACUACGGUAUUAAGCUUCUAAUUUAACAUGGAAAGUGUCCCUGAGAUGGUUUGCUCAUAUGUUCAGUCCCUGAAGGUCAGACUUGACAUAAAUCAGUGACAAUUAAAGAAUGCAUGUCAGGUUUUCAGAAGCCAUCAGUGCCUGAUUAUUCUGUUAUGGUUAUUACUAUCAUCUUUUUCAGACUUUUUAAAGCAUCGUGGUGUUUUUUACACUCAACAAGAGACAUGAGCAGUGGCUUGGCAAUUUUAUUUUAUUUUUUUACUAACAGCUACCCAAAGAAACAGCUAUGAAAUCUAGCAAAAAGGAAAUUUUAAGGAAAAGAAUAAAGAGCUUUGUUUAAGGUAUGGGACAAGAUGUCUUCAGCUAAGAAGUGAUGUUGAUUCUUGUGUAAUAUGAAAAGUUUUUUGUUUUCAUGUUUAUGAAAGUCGAGUUUUAUGUGUACUCUAGUGGCCUUAUCCUAUUUCUACAACUUACUGCUCUUUUUAAGACAAAGUCAGUUGGUAGUUUCUGCUUCUUUCGCUUUUGAACCCCAACAAUGGAGGAAUGCCACGUGUUCCUUGGUUUGUGAGUUGACUGUCCUAGCCUUGUAGACUCUGCUGCUCCAGGUGUGGUCUGGAAACCUGCCGCACGGCAGCAUCUGGGCGCUUGUUGGAAUCUCGGGCCUCUCCCUAGACCUCCUGAAUCAGAACCUGCAUUUUAAUGAGAUGUGCAUUAAAUUUUAAAGCACUGCUAUAGAAACCAGUGUCCUCACCCCCAGGGACACGUGUGAGCCCAUUUAGACAGAUCCUUAGAUGAGCAGUUAGCUCGUCUACCACAUUAACCUAAAAUGAGGCAAAGGACCAGUCUUCCAGGAAACCAGAUUCUUCAAGGGUUACUUUUUUUGUUCAGCAUAUUAUGGGGGUACAAAUGUUAAGGUUACAUAUAUUGCCCUUGUCCCUCCAUCCCCCCUCAAG
Microcebus murinus (gray mouse lemur) is the source of this 4205-nucleotide non-coding RNA. Lineage: Eukaryota; Metazoa; Chordata; Mammalia; Primates; Cheirogaleidae. The record is from RefSeq and is a predicted model, not a curated record.